This 591-nucleotide long non-coding RNA is filed under the name Homo sapiens (human). RNAcentral describes it as "non-protein coding TTTY6:1". Lineage: Eukaryota; Metazoa; Chordata; Mammalia; Primates; Hominidae. The record is from RNAcentral.
GGAUCAUGAGACUAUCCUGUGUAUCCCACAAAGAAGACAGGCAAGAUUCCUUGGCUGAUGCACCUCCACAGAGGUCUCCUUCUCAGCCAAGCCUCAGGGAAUUGUGGCAUUCAUGCUGUACCCGUGAUCUGUUCCCACUGGAGGAGGAGAUGUCUAGACUGUGAUGGGGUCUCUGAGAACUGCUCUUCUGACUUUAUUCCUGAAAGAGGCUGUGUGCAAGAAUUGAGUCCCAGGGGGACUGGAAUGUUGUCUGUCUUGCAGGGGCUCUUGGUGAAAUGGAGGAACCAUGACAAAGGCAAGUCCAAGGUGGAGCAGUAUUCUCACAGCUCUAAGUGGACUCCCACAGGUGCAGGUGAAUGUGUGGGACCGCAUCCACCCCUCACCAGCUUGUAUCCUCACCUUUAUCUGAUGUUAUGGCUGCUCAAAGUAUCUGUCCCAAAAUGAAAUUCCAAGACAAUGAAGGAGUGACGUGAAGGUCCUGCUCAGCUAGGAACUGAAUAUGAAGUAAAUUCAAGGGGCCCUGAGGACUGGACUGCUAGUGUUUCUCCAUGGGAUGUACACUGGAGAAUAAAGCAGUGAAAUAUUUCUGUU